UGCCAAAUACUUCCUUGAGUCCAACAGCAUC
Molecule: non-coding RNA, 31 nt
Filed under: Mus musculus (house mouse)
Lineage: Eukaryota; Metazoa; Chordata; Mammalia; Rodentia; Muridae
Also listed under: 1 other name
Source: RNAcentral